Molecule: long non-coding RNA, 1540 nt
Organism: Oncorhynchus masou masou (cherry salmon)
Lineage: Eukaryota; Metazoa; Chordata; Actinopteri; Salmoniformes; Salmonidae
Exons: 2
Source: RefSeq, a predicted model, not a curated record
GGAAAGGGAUUUUGAAGAGUGGGUCAUCCCGCUCUGAAUUGAAAACUUCAUCAACCAGCUUCAUCAGAUAUACCAGAGGCCAAGUGGGUUCAAUGAGUUGGCCAGAUAACAAGUCGAAAUAGUGAUUUUUUUUGUUAAUAUUUAAAAAAAAAAGCUCAACUUGGAUAUGUUUUUUUUUUUUGUUUGUUAAAUCAAUUCGACAUGGCGUUUUUCAAGCUUAUCUUUCUACAAAAUAAAACGUAUCAGAAUAUACAGGCACGUUAGCUGGCUGACUCCUUUAUAGGAUACCCCUCAGGACCUUCCCUCUAUCAGUCUACGAGGGCGGGAUGGCCCAGCUAUCCAGCUCGCAGCAGGGUUGUAACGCACUUAUCCAAACUGAGACCUUUGUCAGUUUCUCUGAGUGGCUCACUCAAAACCUUCCUGCUUGUUGUAGUGGGAGCUCAGGUGGCCUGAUAACCGGGCCCGGCCGCUAGGCUCGCUAACUCUGUACCAGGCCGCUAGGCUCGCUAACUCUUUACGAGGCAGCUAGGCUAGCUAACACCUUUACGGGGCAGCUAGGCUAGCCAACUCUUUACGGGGCAGCUAGGCUAGCCAACUCUUUACGGGGCCGCUAGGCUAGCCAACUCUUUACGAGGCCGCUAGGCUAGCCAACUCUUUACGAGGCCGCUAGGCUAGCCAACUCUUUACGAGGCCGCUAGGCUAGCCAACUCUUUACGAGGCCGCUAGGCUAGCCAGCUCUUUACGAGGCCGCUAGGCUAGCCAACUCUUUACGAGGCCGCUAGGCUAGCCAACUCUUUACGAGGCCGCUAGGCUAGCCAACUCUUUACGAGGCCGCUAGGCUAGCCAACUCUUUACGAGGCCGCUAGGCUAGCCAACUCUUUACGAGGCCGCUAGGCUAGCCAACUCUUUACGAGGCCGCUAGGCUAGCCAACUCUUACGAGGCCGCUAGGCUAGCCAACUCUGACUAUCUAGUAUCUCCUCAUUGCUGGGAUUUAACAAAGUCCAAACAACAUCUCACCUGUUAUCAUUAUUUUUGCCCCUUGAACCACUGCUGUUGUGGUGGUACUAUCGAUCCAUUAUCUGAGAUCUGGGCCGUUCUGAUUGACAUGUUGUGCUCACUGACUGGCUGCAUCACAAGUGGCAUAUAGGGAAUAGGGUGCCGUUUGAUGCAGUCAUUGUUGCUGACUGUAAUAGGGAGACAUGGACCCUGCCGAAGUAGCCUGAGCUGAAGUUCAGCUUAACCUAGACCUGGACUAAAGAUCACUUUCAAUGGAGAAUCCUUUAGUCGUGUUUCUUAGUCCAGGACUAGGCUUAAUUAAUCUGUGUCUGGGAAACAGGCCUUCAAUUGGUCUGAACCCAAGAGAGUCCCAGCAACGAAGAUACUUAAAACUUUAACACAAACUAUUUUCCAGCAGAUACCUCAGGACCUAGAAAUAUAUAGAGAGAGCUGGGGGGGGGGACUUCACCAGGUAUCAAUACAACUGUUAUUGACUUGCCAGGUAUCAGCCAGGUAAGAUAACUGUUAUUGACUCUCCAGGUA